UAGAAAAAGUACUCUGAUAUUUCCGUGCCUUUAACAAGAAACAGGAUGUAUUAUAUAAUGAGAACAAAUCGUUUACAAAACCCCUGCUGAAAUCCAUGAUCGUCUGCUUUCAUUCUCUUGAUUCUCUAUUCGUUCCUUUAAUUAUUAAAAUAUUAGAGGAAAGCCUAUCCACAGCAAGGAAGGUGGACUUUUGUAAUUGGAUGUUAUAAUGCUGACCAAAGUGGACAUAAAGAAGUGAAAAUAUUCCCCACUUGGGAACAGAAAAUACGUGGUUAUGAAAACUUCAAGAAAACUGGGUUAUUUAUAAGUGAGAGCUGGAAAUGGGUUCCAAGGUUACUUUUCUCCCUCAAAGAACAGAAAAUCAGACAUGGAAUAGCAUAACCCCAAAGAUCUUCAGACAAGACCGUCAUACCAGUGCUCCUGACAGGUAAAUCCGCCCCUCACCAAGUUCAUUUGGAGAAAAAAAACAAAAACAGCAGUUCUUCAUUAAACUAUGACUAUGUGCUGGGAGACGUUGAGGCUUUCUUUCCUUUUGUCCUUAUUACAACAUAGUAGAAACUUUCCUGUGCUUAUAACUCCUGCAUUCAUUCUGCAACUAUUUCCGGAAUGCCUAUGAACUAACAGACAGUAAGCCAAGUGACAUACACGCACCCAGCAACAGGCAAAAGACAUGGCACCUAUACAGAUGAUUUCUUGCUUUUUUUUGCACAGCGAUUAGAAAAUACAUAUGUGAGGAUGUGGAAAAUAGGUUCUGUGUUCCAAAGCAUGGUGAGAGCACCAAAACAGGUUUCGCAAAGAAAGAGAGAAAAGGCUGGAAUUUGGAGAGGGUGUUUCUUUUGAGUUGGGCUGUGUGUUUCCUGUGGACACCUCCUCAUUCGGGGAAGGGUGGGGGUGCUUUUCACUCCCCUCAAACCAAGUGGGAAGUGCUCCAAAGGGAACAUCAAUGGCUUGAGUUGUGCCAUCGGAGCUUGGGGUCACAGUGCAUGGGGGCUAACUCUGGCUCAAGAAAAGUUAAAGGCGAGAACCUGAUGACAAAGUUCGGGGUGGUGGCAUGGGGUGGCCUGUUCUCAGGGCCGGACUCGUCUCCUGGGGCACAUUUUAGGGAACACCAAAAAGCUCAGGAAUCAAGGUAAAUAAUAUGCUAAAUGCAAUAUUAUUAAAAAUCACAACUAAUGGGAAAAAAUCAGGAUGAACAAACUAACAACAUUUUCAAUAAAACUAGUAUCAGUGGGGCUGGGGUGAGGGUAGAGGCAGCAAAGUGAGCCGUGGAAAUGGGUCUGCAUGGAAAACUCUCAAACCCAAGGCACGCACCUCCUUCUCUCAUCUAGUCUGGGCCUAGCUUGCGCGCCUGGAGCCCAUCAUGGCAAAGGGAGCACGUGGGUUUCCACUGACCAGAUGCAGAGCGUAUGAGAGCUGGAACGGGGCCAGGCCGGAAAGGGCGGGGGAAUCUUAGGAGGACGAUGCUGGAGCCGACUGUCUGCCCCAGAGCUAAGGGGGGAGCCCUCAGCCAGCAGCCGGAGGAGAGGCCUGGCCCGCCCCAGGGAACCUGCAGGAAAUAGAGACAAGCAAACAGAAGAAAGUGAAGCUGCCUGUAAUUCCACCACUCAGAGAUAAACUUCUAGGUGGGAAGUCCUAAAAAUCUUUGGGACUUCUCCCUCUGGGCUGGCUUUUGCCCUCCAGCAUGACCCGACUCAUUUAUACUUCCGCCCACCUGAAUGCCCACCUCUUCUGCCUGUUUCUUCACGCCCUGAUGGACCCUGGGCAUCAGCUCUCUUUUGGAUGGUGCCUUUGUAUUAAAAUCUUUGUAGGGGAAACUUGAAAUGUUUUUGGAAACACCCAGACUGCCCCAAAUUACAGAACUGGCUGCAGCCUUCAUGCUGUGAGCAGAUGUCUUUGGCCGCUUGGGAGGGGUGCCACUUCUCUGCUGUGCUCCACUAUUAACUAAUUUUUAAAAGGGAAGUGGUCCUGCAGACUUAUGGGCACCCGUAUUAUGAAGGGUGUUCCUGCCUCUAGGGAUUUCCUCUCUCAGUCAUGGUGGACCAGAAAUCCUCAACUGGGAAGGAUAGUAAAGUCUCACUGUCUGAGGUUGAGUGAGCUUAUGAGAUUUAAAUUGAAGGGAGCUGAGUUAGAGCUGAUAAAUACUGACUGCCUUCUUAGGGUCAGGCGUCCCAUGAAGUGAUCCCUUGGGCCGGCCAUCCGUUCCCUCACAAAUGCAGCCAACCUUUAUGGAAUGUGUAUGAGGCACGCACUGUUCCACUGAUGAGAGUUCACGAGUUCUGAUGGUCACUCCCCUGCCUAUGCUGCUUGGACGGCUUCCUGGUACCCUUAGCCACGAAGCCCCAGCUUUGUCUAAACCUUCCAGGUCCAGUGUGUUCUGUUCCUGCCAGUGUUUCCAGCCUUAUGGCAUCACAUCCUCACCAGCCCCACAUGAGCACCACCCUCUGGGGGCUGGAGUCCUUGGCACAUGCUGUUCCCUCUACCCAAGACAGUUAGCAGUGAAAUCCCGCUCAUCCUUCCAGGCUGGUCUUAAUGUUCCUUCUUUGGAAAGGGCUUCCUUAACUCCCAGACCUCCCCAGACUAAACUGGUUCUCCCCAUCUUUUUGCUCAAUACCUCUU
Long non-coding RNA from Manis pentadactyla (Chinese pangolin), 2616 nucleotides. RefSeq lists it as uncharacterized. The record is from RefSeq and is a predicted model, not a curated record. The transcript is spliced from 4 exons. Lineage: Eukaryota; Metazoa; Chordata; Mammalia; Pholidota; Manidae.